GAAAGCCGUAUGCGGGAAAACCGCACGUACGGUUUGAUGAGGAGGGGCUGGUAUACCCAGUCCUUUACUCUAC
This 73-nucleotide non-coding RNA is filed under the name Cohnella sp. SGD-V74. The record is from RNAcentral. Lineage: Bacteria; Bacillati; Bacillota; Bacilli; Caryophanales; Paenibacillaceae.